GUGACACCUCAGAGAGACUCCCUGGACAGCCCUGCUCCUUCCCAGCCACCCACAGACCCAGAGGGACCCUGAGUCAGCCCGGAUCGUACCAUGAGCGGCGGCCUCCUGUGCUGUGUGGCCUUGUGUGUCCUCCGUGCAGGUCUGGGGAUGGCUGGCGUCACUCAGUCCCCGACAUUCCAGGUCGUGACAACAGGACAGAUGGUGACCUUGAGUUGUGCCCAGGACUUGAACCAUAACAACAUGUACUGGUACCGACAGGACCUGGGUCACGGGCUGAGGCUGCUCCAUUACUCAGUGGGUGCUGGGAUCACUGAGAAAGGAGAUGUCCCUGAUGGGUACAGCGUCUCUAGACCAGAUAUAAAGAACUUCCCCCUCACGCUGCAGUCGGCCACCCCCGCCCAGACAUCUGUGUACUUCUGUGCCAGCAGUGAACCCACAGUGCUGCACGGCCGCCUCCUCUCUGCACAGAAAGUCAGGGGGAGGCCCCGCACCCAGACUCAGGGGAGCCCUGUGCGGACUCCGACACCUUAG
Phyllostomus hastatus (greater spear-nosed bat) is the source of this 531-nucleotide non-coding RNA. NCBI's taxonomy places the organism in Eukaryota, Metazoa, Chordata, Mammalia, Chiroptera, Phyllostomidae. The record is from the annotation of a RefSeq genome assembly.